AGCGUCUCUGCUGCAGAAGCUGCUGCUUGUAGAGGUUUCUGUGUGCUUUGACAGGGUUUGCAGGGUUGUGUAUCUGCAUGGAGGUUUGCAGCACAGGAACAGGAGAACUUCCUCUCACCUUUCCUCUUCAUCCUGCAGCAGUGGUGGAAGCAGAGGAUGUUCUUGAUGAAUGAAGGUGAAACCAAACAUCUGAUCUGAUCCAGCAUCACAUGAGACACUCUGAAGGAAAUGUUUCUGCUCUUUAGACGACAAAACUCACAAUUUAUUGUUAGAAUGAAAAGAAAACUUUCCACAUUUUUCUGGAAUCAAGUUGUUUUAUUGAAGAAAUCCAAAGAGACAGAACAGCAGACAUAUAUUUUUCUGAUCUAAAUCUAAAGGAUUCAGAAGAAAACAGCAUCAGUUCUAAGUUGAUGUUAGUUUCAGUUUUCUUCUUUGGAUCACAAUAAAGAAACCAGAAGAUCCAAAUACAUCAAUACAAAUAUGAAACCAGAACCAUUAGAGCCCAGAGAAGUUUAGAUUUUCAUGUGGAGAAAUAUUUCUGUGUCAAAUAAGAAUGAAAGAAAACAUCAGCAGUGAAAUCCUUUCUGGUUCCUGGAACACAGACACAGAGAACUACAUUUAAACAAGAACAAUGAAGAA
Girardinichthys multiradiatus is the source of this 639-nucleotide long non-coding RNA. RefSeq lists it as uncharacterized. NCBI's taxonomy places the organism in Eukaryota, Metazoa, Chordata, Actinopteri, Cyprinodontiformes, Goodeidae. The transcript has 2 exons. The record is from RefSeq and is a predicted model, not a curated record.